RNAcentral lists this ribosomal RNA (2900 nucleotides) under Shigella flexneri K-404. RNAcentral describes it as "bacterial LSU rRNA". It matches the Rfam family "Bacterial large subunit ribosomal RNA". The record is from RNAcentral. Lineage: Bacteria; Pseudomonadati; Pseudomonadota; Gammaproteobacteria; Enterobacterales; Enterobacteriaceae.
UAAGCGACUAAGCGUACACGGUGGAUGCCCUGGCAGUCAGAGGCGAUGAAGGACGUGCUAAUCUGCGAUAAGCGUCGGUAAGGUGAUAUGAACCGUUAUAACCGGCGAUUUCCGAAUGGGGAAACCCAGUGUGAUUCGUCACACUAUCAUUAACUGAAUCCAUAGGUUAAUGAGGCGAACCGGGGGAACUGAAACAUCUAAGUACCCCGAGGAAAAGAAAUCAACCGAGAUUCCCCCAGUAGCGGCGAGCGAACGGGGAGCAGCCCAGAGCCUGAAUCAGUGUGUGUGUUAGUGGAAGCGUCUGGAAAGGCGUGCGAUACAGGGUGACAGCCCCGUACACAAAAAUGCACAUACUGUGAGCUCGAUGAGUAGGGCGGGACACGUGGUAUCCUGUCUGAAUAUGGGGGGACCAUCCUCCAAGGCUAAAUACUCCUGACUGACCGAUAGUGAACCAGUACCGUGAGGGAAAGGCGAAAAGAACCCCGGCGAGGGGAGUGAAAAAGAACCUGAAACCGUGUACGUACAAGCAGUGGGAGCACGCUUAGGCGUGUGACUGCGUACCUUUUGUAUAAUGGGUCAGCGACUUAUAUUCUGUAGCAAGGUUAACCGAAUAGGGGAGCCGAAGGGAAACCGAGUCUUAACUGGGCGUUAAGUUGCAGGGUAUAGACCCGAAACCCGGUGAUCUAGCCAUGGGCAGGUUGAAGGUUGGGUAACACUAACUGGAGGACCGAACCGACUAAUGUUGAAAAAUUAGCGGAUGACUUGUGGCUGGGGGUGAAAGGCCAAUCAAACCGGGAGAUAGCUGGUUCUCCCCGAAAGCUAUUUAGGUAGCGCCUCGUGAAUUCAUCUCCGGGGGUAGAGCACUGUUUCGGCAAGGGGGUCAUCCCGACUUACCAACCCGAUGCAAACUGCGAAUACCGGAGAAUGUUAUCACGGGAGACACACGGCGGGUGCUAACGUCCGUCGUGAAGAGGGAAACAACCCAGACCGCCAGCUAAGGUCCCAAAGUCAUGGUUAAGUGGGAAACGAUGUGGGAAGGCCCAGACAGCCAGGAUGUUGGCUUAGAAGCAGCCAUCAUUUAAAGAAAGCGUAAUAGCUCACUGGUCGAGUCGGCCUGCGCGGAAGAUGUAACGGGGCUAAACCAUGCACCGAAGCUGCGGCAGCGACGCUUAUGCGUUGUUGGGUAGGGGAGCGUUCUGUAAGCCUGUGAAGGUGUGCUGUGAGGUAUGCUGGAGGUAUCAGAAGUGCGAAUGCUGACAUAAGUAACGAUAAAGCGGGUGAAAAGCCCGCUCGCCGGAAGACCAAGGGUUCCUGUCCAACGUUAAUCGGGGCAGGGUGAGUCGACCCCUAAGGCGAGGCCGAAAGGCGUAGUCGAUGGGAAGCAGGUUAAUAUUCCUGUACUUGGUGUUACUGCGAAGGGGGGACGGAGAAGGCUAUGUUGGCCGGGCGACGGUUGUCCCGGUUUAAGCGUGUAGGCUGGUUUUCCAGGCAAAUCCGGAAAAUCAAGGCCGAGGCGUGAUGACGAGGCACUACGGUGGCUGAAGCAACAAAUGCCCUGCUUCCAGGAAAAGCCUCUAAGCAUCAGGUAACAUCAAAUCGUACCCCAAACCGACACAGGUGGUCAGGUAGAGAAUACCAAGGCGCUUGAGAGAACUCGGGUGAAGGAACUAGGCAAAAUGGUGCCGUAACUUCGGGAGAAGGCACGCUGAUACGUAGGUGAAGCGACUUGCUCGUGGAGCUGAAAUCAGUCGAAGAUACCAGCUGGCUGCAACUGUUUAUUAAAAACACAGCACUGUGCAAACACGAAAGUGGACGUAUACGGUGUGACGCCUGCCCGGUGCCGGAAGGUUAAUUGAUGGGGUUAGCGCAAGCGAAGCUCUUGAUCGAAGCCCCGGUAAACGGCGGCCGUAACUAUAACGGUCCUAAGGUAGCGAAAUUCCUUGUCGGGUAAGUUCCGACCUGCACGAAUGGCGUAAUGAUGGCCAGGCUGUCUCCACCCGAGACUCAGUGAAAUUGAACUCGCUGUGAAGAUGCAGUGUACCCGCGGCAAGACGGAAAGACCCCGUGAACCUUUACUAUAGCUUGACACUGAACAUUGAGCCUUGAUGUGUAGGAUAGGUGGGAGGCUUUGAAGUGUGGACGCCAGUCUGCAUGGAGCCGACCUUGAAAUACCACCCUUUAAUGUUUGAUGUUCUAACGUGGACCCGUGAUCCGGGUUGCGGACAGUGUCUGGUGGGUAGUUUGACUGGGGCGGUCUCCUCCUAAAGAGUAACGGAGGAGCACGAAGGUUGGCUAAUCCUGGUCGGACAUCAGGAGGUUAGUGCAAUGGCAUAAGCCAGCUUGACUGCGAGCGUGACGGCGCGAGCAGGUGCGAAAGCAGGUCAUAGUGAUCCGGUGGUUCUGAAUGGAAGGGCCAUCGCUCAACGGAUAAAAGGUACUCCGGGGAUAACAGGCUGAUACCGCCCAAGAGUUCAUAUCGACGGCGGUGUUUGGCACCUCGAUGUCGGCUCAUCACAUCCUGGGGCUGAAGUAGGUCCCAAGGGUAUGGCUGUUCGCCAUUUAAAGUGGUACGCGAGCUGGGUUUAGAACGUCGUGAGACAGUUCGGUCCCUAUCUGCCGUGGGCGCUGGAGAACUGAGGGGGCUGCUCCUAGUACGAGAGGACCGGAGUGGACGCAUCACUGGUGUUCGGGUUGUCAUGCCAAUGGCACUGCCCGGUAGCUAAAUGCGGAAGAGAUAAGUGCUGAAAGCAUCUAAGCACGAAACUUGCCCCGAGAUGAGUUCUCCCUGACCCUUUAAGGGUCCUGAAGGAACGUUGAAGACGACGACGUUGAUAGGCCGGGUGUGUAAGCGCAGCGAUGCGUUGAGCUAACCGGUACUAAUGAACCGUGAGGCUUAACCU